RNAcentral lists this unclassified non-coding RNA (218 nucleotides) under uncultured fungus. RNAcentral's name for it is "sequence contains ITS1". The record is from RNAcentral. Lineage: Eukaryota; Fungi.
GUAUUGAUUGCGUGUGACCGCAAAAGAAACAUUCUACACUGUAUCGAGUUUUUAUGUGAAAACGCAAGCCCUCCCGCAAAGGGGACCCACGCGGUGAUGCACAAAGGUGAGAUGGAUUGUGUGAGAGCGCUCGGGCGUGCACGACCUUUGACGGUCAGCGACAGCCCUUGCACCUCGGUUGUACGAUAAUGAUCCUUCCGCAGGUUCACCUACGGAAA